UGACCUUGACAUCGGUGGCGAUCAAGACGAAAGCCCGGCACCGGAUGACAACGAUGGCGAUGUUACUAAUGCUACCACUGAUAGCGGCAAUUCAGAUGAAAACAAGGUAGAUGGUGGUGGUCAAAACCAAGACCCGGCUAAGGAGGACGAUGAUGACGCCACCGUGUCCACUAAGAAAUACUUCAGCCCCCAAGGCUCCUACUUUCCCGACCAUUUUAUAGAUGAUGCGCGAAAAUAAAUAAAAAUAUUUUGUUUUAUUUUA
Molecule: long non-coding RNA, 262 nt
Organism: Cydia fagiglandana
Lineage: Eukaryota; Metazoa; Arthropoda; Insecta; Lepidoptera; Tortricidae
Exons: 2
Source: RefSeq, a predicted model, not a curated record